AAGAGGAAGCAGCAAGGCUGGGCCUUGAAGAACGUGAAGGAGUCACCCAGCUAGAGAGGGCAGGAGGGUGUUCCACGAAGUACAAACAUCAUGAACAGAAAGUCAAAGAGUGAAAGUGAAGGGAGGAUUGGGGAGCAGUGAACAGACAAUGUGAGAGAGCUGCGGCACCAUGGAGAAGAGUAAUGAGAGGGACAUCCUGAAGGAAAGACAAUAUGAAGGACUGUCGAUGCCAAAGAAAGGACUUUCAGCCAUAUGCACGCAAUGGGGAGCAAUGCAAGAUUGUCAACCAAGAGACUGAGGUGCUGCUACCACAAACAUGAGGAAACUUCUGUUAGGAGUUCAACCUUCAGAGAGGACAGCUGGCAGUGCAAGAUGGUGACAGCCCUGCAAUCAGGAGAAGAAAGUCAUGAGACCUGUUUCUCCAGGUUUCCCGCCUCCUUCCACCUUCUGUACAGGACACACCAGUUCCCUCAAGCCCAAAAUGUGAGCAGCUGUCAUUCUCUGCAUAGCCAAGCUCGGCAGUCUGCCGAAAGGGACAAGCCAGUCCCGCAAAGGAAUGAUGUAUGCCAAAAGAUACUGCAUUAGGA
RNAcentral lists this long non-coding RNA (587 nucleotides) under Homo sapiens (human). RNAcentral's name for it is "non-protein coding lnc-CD83-5:1". The record is from RNAcentral. Lineage: Eukaryota; Metazoa; Chordata; Mammalia; Primates; Hominidae.